This 399-nucleotide ribosomal RNA is filed under the name uncultured eukaryote. RNAcentral's name for it is "bacterial SSU rRNA". It matches the Rfam family "Eukaryotic small subunit ribosomal RNA", at positions 594 to 945 of the family's 1831-position model. The record is from RNAcentral.
AUAGCGUAUAUUAAAGUUGUUGCAGUUAAAAAGCUCGUAGUUGAACUUGAAAGUUUCCUGGUUGGGAUUGGCUUGGGUAUUCAGGUCGCAAGGCUUGGAUGCUAUUCCAAACAAGUCAAGUUUCCCAUUUUACCAGGGGCUUUAAUCCUUGUCUGAGGAGCUUGGAUGCACUUUAUUGUUGUGUCCUUGCGAGUCAGAACAUUUUACCUUGAAAAAAUUAGAGUGUUCAAAGCAGGCUCUUUGAGCUUGAAUACAUUAGCAUGGGAUAAUAGAAUAGGACUUUUGGUUCUAUUUUGUUGGUUUUUCAGAACCAGAGUAAUGAUGAAUAGGAACAGUUGGGGGCAUUCAUAUUCGAUCGCUAGAGGUGAAAUUCUUAGAUUGAUCGACGAUGAACUAUUG